This 1065-nucleotide long non-coding RNA is filed under the name Equus asinus (donkey). RNAcentral's name for it is "lncRNA (ENSEASG00005035315.1)". The record is from RNAcentral. Lineage: Eukaryota; Metazoa; Chordata; Mammalia; Perissodactyla; Equidae.
GAGCGAGACCGGAAGCUGCGGAGACCCGGGAAGACCGCCACGCCCUCCCACAAGAGGGCGUCUGCGUCACACCAGCUGUGAGGUCCUGGGCAAGUCAUAAAGCUCUUUGUGCCUCAGUUUCCAUAUCUGAAAAAUGAGGAUAAUAAUAGUGUCUACUUUAUUUGACUGGCCUGGGGAUUUAAGGAGGUAAUACCGGAAAGUGUUUAAAGCAAUUUCUAGCACAAAGGAAACACAGCAAUUGUGAGCAAUUCUUAUGUCUUUGGCCGUGACUGGUGGACUCCGGGCCUCAGCCCCAGUGGCAAAUGUCGUGCUGCCCUGUUGUGCUGUUCUUUAAUAUUGUGCCUGGCUGGUGCUGGGUGCAGCGGAUCCUGGGUGCCUGCUUCUUGCAGAACCUGGAGAGAACAGCGAGGACUGGACUUACCGGCUGACCCAGCAAAUUGGGACCGUGCACGUGAAUCCAAGUGGGAAUGUGUGGAAGUUCUUUGUGUUUGACUGUGAGCAUCCGUAUGUGUUCUCCUUGGAGGUUCACCCACCAGAAAACUGGGAUCAGCAGGAAGAACUUGCACACGCGCCUGGAGGAAUCCAGAACCACUGUUACUCUUGGAGUCGCAUCUCUGAUGUCUUCGGCGAUUUCCAAGAAGGAGACAACUCCUCAGUGAGAGUUCCUGGCUGGGAGGGCGGCUGGCAGUGCGAUGCCAGUAAGGGCCGGGCUGGCAGCGUGUGUGAAAUUCUGGUGCUAGGGAGCUGCCGGGAUUUGUGCUCCUACAUCAUUAAGACCAAAGGAGCUGAAGAAGAAAAGAGAGAUGGUCUUCAUUAAAGAUGAUCACAGUCAUCACACCUCACUGUCACCACGGACAAUCUGCAGGAGGAUGAUGCUGACAUACACUGGUGUGCCGUAGAAAAAUGCUUGAGGGAACUGGGGGGCCCAGUGGAAAUCAUGGUGGCUUCAGGUCCUUGCUCAUCAGCCUCCCCUCCCUGCUCCUGCUCCUGCUGAAGGUGGCCCCGCUCCUGGGCCUGCUCUGUGCUGUGAUCUGGGUGAACCUCAGAAAGGUGGCUGAGGGGAGG